RNAcentral lists this ribosomal RNA (775 nucleotides) under Prevotella sp. 1ab35-1_x6. RNAcentral's name for it is "bacterial SSU rRNA". It matches the Rfam family "Bacterial small subunit ribosomal RNA", at positions 61 to 823 of the family's 1533-position model. Lineage: Bacteria; Pseudomonadati; Bacteroidota; Bacteroidia; Bacteroidales; Prevotellaceae. The record is from RNAcentral.
GUCGAGGGGAAACGGCAUUAAGUGCUUGCACUUUUUGGACGUCGACCGGCGCACGGGUGAGUAACGCGUAUCCAACCUUCCCAUGACUAAGGGAUAACCUGCCGAAAGGCAGACUAAUACCUUAUGGUCUUCACUGACGGCAUCAGAUGUGAAGUAAAGAUUUAUCGGUUAUGGAUGGGGAUGCGUCUGAUUAGCUUGUUGGCGGGGUAACGGCCCACCAAGGCAACGAUCAGUAGGGGUUCUGAGAGGAAGGUCCCCCACAUUGGAACUGAGACACGGUCCAAACUCCUACGGGAGGCAGCAGUGAGGAAUAUUGGUCAAUGGGCGAGAGCCUGAACCAGCCAAGUAGCGUGCAGGAYGACGGCCCUAUGGGUUGUAAACUGCUUUUGUAUGGGGAUAAAGUCAAUCACGUGUGAUUGUUUGCAGGUACCAUACGAAUAAGGACCGGCUAAUUCCGUGCCAGCAGCCGCGGUAAUACGGAAGGUCCGGGCGUUAUCCGGAUUUAUUGGGUUUAAAGGGAGCGUAGGCUGGAGAUUAAGUGUGUUGUGAAAUGUAGACGCUCAACGUCUGACUUGCAGCGCAUACUGGUUUCCUUGAGUACGCACAACGUUGGCGGAAUUCGUCGUGUAGCGGUGAAAUGCUUAGAUAUGACGAAGAACUCCGAUUGCGAAGGCAGCUGACGGGAGCGCAACUGACGCUGAAGCUCGAAGGUGCGGGUAUCGAACAGGAUUAGAUACCCUGGUAGUCCGCACAGUAAACGAUGGAUGCCCGCUGU